RNAcentral lists this unclassified non-coding RNA (1682 nucleotides) under Hevea brasiliensis (rubber tree). Lineage: Eukaryota; Viridiplantae; Streptophyta; Magnoliopsida; Malpighiales; Euphorbiaceae. The record is from RNAcentral.
CUGCCCGUCUCAAAGGAAAUGCAUUAGAGCUAUUUUAUCAGAGCUUCACUGCAAACGAUUUCUUUAAACAUGUAAAGAUGGUAUGCAGGUGUCUGCCAAAGAGCAGAUAAUUUUUCGACAAAAUUACUGGAAGAUCAUCUAGUUCUAUCUAUGCAACUAGAAGAAGAGAAUAAAGAACAAGAAGACAAAUUCUAACACAUAAACACACAUUCAUACACAAACUACCUUGAAAAUCUAUAGCCUAUAUUGCAGUGAUUGUCAGCAAAGUAAAAUGCCAAGUUGAGGCAUUAAAGUUAGUUCUAAGCAUUGGUCAUGCUGUUGCUGCCUGUAGUUAGAUUUUAGUGUAAUUUUUUCAAAUCAAUAGCAAACAAAACAUAUUUAACCGAUAAUAAGUGAACCAGAGAACUACUCCAUUGCAUAUUCUGAUCGAAUCAAAUCAUUCAAAAAAGUUGUUGGUAAUAACCCUUCUGAGUUUCAACUAUACAGAAUAUUGAUUUAUAGAGCUAAUGCAAAGUUAUCAUAGUUAAAGAACUCUAUCCUAAUAUAACAAGAGCAAAAGCAAAAAAUUGGUAGCUCAAAAAUGUAAGGAAAAGAACUGAACCUUCAAAAUUCUUGAGCUAUCUCCAAGUCCUGUUGUGAACCAAAAGCUGCUGAAAUCAUAGAAACAAUCUUCCUCUGUGAAUCUAAAAUCAUCUCCAUCCGCUUAUUCUCCAUCUCCAUUCUCCACUUCUCAGUCUCCUUCGUCAUCUCCAUCUUUUUACUCUCCAUCCCUACUAUUCUCUCUGCAAACACCCUUAUUUCCUCUGCCAAUCCCAAUUCCACCCCUUCCCUUUUCUCUCCUUCUUCUUCAUCAUCAUUCUCCUCUACCAUUUCCACUCUCUUCCUCUUAUUCAUGGCCUCUCGCAAAUACCCAGAAUCACUCCCUGCAAACCGAUUGACAAUGGUGGGCUUUCGCAGUAUACAAUUAAUACUUCGCGACUUACUUCUAUGCCCAUAAUCAUCCUCUUCUUCGUCCUGGUCGUGUUCCACCUCCGCUUCAUCCUCAUUGUCUUCAUCUUCAUCAACAGUAUCAUUAGGAAAUACAAGAGCCAAGGGGCGCGCAGAGAUAGGCACUGGACCCCGUUCCAACGAUUCCAUGAGGUCAAAGUACUGCCAGGAACACACGCCGGUGAGGGAAAUACGCCGUUUCUCCUCGCGGAAGCGUUUCCGGAGCUUCUCCAUCUUGUGGCGGCACUGAAUGACGGUUUUGGCUGGGUGGUUGUGAUCACAGCCACAGCGAGCGGCGGCGGUUACAGCCACCUCUUCCCACUGGCUGGCCUUAAGCUGCCCUUGUUUUAAAGAGUACCACUUUUCCUGAUAAGAUUGGAUUAGGUGGACUGUUUCUUGGUGGGUCCAGGGAACCGGAUGCGAUUUCUUGGUGGAGAGGGGUCUGGAGUUUGGGGGUGGUGACUGUGAUGGUGGCUCUGAUGGAGGUGGAGGAGAGGGAGAUGGAGAUGCUGUGGACAUAGUGGAAAUGAGGAUAGGUUUUUGUGAGUGAAGGAAUGUGGUUUUUGUUGCUUGGGUUGAGUGGUGAUAACGGCGGCGGCGGUGGCCAACGUGGCGGUGGUUGUUGUUACUCGGUGGAAGGUGUGCCAGCUACGCUUGCUCCCGUGGGGAGAGGGGAAGGCUGUAGGUUUAAGCGG